This 356-nucleotide transfer-messenger RNA is filed under the name Bartonella raoultii. It matches the Rfam family "Alphaproteobacteria transfer-messenger RNA". From Rfam's summary of the family: Bacterial tmRNA, also known as 10Sa RNA or SsrA, is named for its dual tRNA and mRNA-like properties. Lineage: Bacteria; Pseudomonadati; Pseudomonadota; Alphaproteobacteria; Hyphomicrobiales; Bartonellaceae. The record is from RNAcentral.
CCCCUUUCCGAAAGACUAUUCUUCACCUAUAUUUAAGGGGUUGGUUUACCAACUAUGGUAAUAAAUAGACGGUGAAAUAAACCUAUUGGACCCGGGGGCGGUACCCGGCGCCUCCACCAAAAUAUAAUUCUUAUCGAUUAUAUUUUGGUGGGGGCGAAACAGGAUCGACAAAGGCGUAAAGAUCGCUCUUUUACUCGGCAUUGUACCACCGUUAUCGGGCUAAAUGAGUAGUUGCAAAUGACAACUAUGCGGAAGCGCGUCUCGCCGCUUAGGCGAUAUGUAUGCUUCAAAUUAAGUCUUAAACCAUCGCAGGUUUAAGCGGGGUUCGAAGGCACCUGGCAACAGAAGCCUUCACU